Molecule: long non-coding RNA, 152 nt
Organism: Bradysia coprophila
Lineage: Eukaryota; Metazoa; Arthropoda; Insecta; Diptera; Sciaridae
Source: RefSeq, a predicted model, not a curated record
AGGUAAAUAACCAACAUUAAUAGGAUAUGCGUUCAGUAGCUAUAUUUUUAUAAGUCUUGCAGCUAUAUUAUAAGAACUGCAGCCACAUUAUAAGUUACACAGCCUUUAACGAUAUCCACGAAUUUUCCGUGUGUAGAUAGUGUGGGAUAGUU